Molecule: ribosomal RNA, 442 nt
Filed under: uncultured bacterium
Lineage: Bacteria
Description: partial 16S ribosomal RNA
Rfam family: Bacterial small subunit ribosomal RNA
Source: RNAcentral
CCUACGGGAGGCAGCAGUGGGGAAUAUUGGGCAAUGGGCGCAAGCCUGACCCAGCAAUGCCGCGUGAAGGAAGAAGGCUUUCGGGUUGUAAACUUCUUUGACAGGGGAAGAGCAGAAGACGGUACCCUGAAAACAAGCCACGGCUAACUACGUGCCACCAGCCGCGGUAAUACGUAGGUGGCAAGCGUUGUCAGGAUUUACUGGGUGUAAAGGGCGUGUAGGCGGGAAGGCAAGUCAGAUGUGAAAUCUGGAGGCUCAACCUCCAAAUUGCAUUUGAAACUGGUUUUCUUGAGUACUGGAGAGGCAGACGGAAUUCCUGGUGUAGCGGUGAAAUGCGUAGAUAUAAGGAGGAACACCAGUGGCGAAGGCGGUCUGCUGGACAGCGACUGACGGUGAGGCGCGAAAGCGUGGGGAGCAAACAGGAUUAGAUACCCUAGUAGUC